GACGAACGUUGGCGGCGUGCCUAACACAUGCAAGUCAAGGGUAGCAAUACACUGGCGCACGGGUGAGUAACGCGUGGGUAAUCUGCCCAUAUCACAGACACAACAUCGAGAAAUCGGUGCUAAUAUCUGAUGAGGCGAGAAAUCGUCAAAGCUUCGGCGGAUAUGGAUGAGCCCGCGUCUGAUUAGCUAGUUGGUGGUGUAAACGGACCACCAAGGCGACGAUCAGUAGCUGGUCUGAGAGGACGAUCAGCCACACUGGAACUGAGACACGGUCCAGACUCCUACGGGAGGCAGCAGUGAGGAAUAUUGGUCAAUGGGCGCAAGCCUGAACCAGCGACGCCGCGUGAGGGAUGAAGGGGCUUUGCCCUGUAAACCUCUGUCGAGUGGGAAAAAUGGUCUCUCUUGGAGGCCGGGAUUGUACCACUGGAGGAAGCACCGGCUAACUACGUGCCAGCAGCCGCGGUAAU
Molecule: ribosomal RNA, 467 nt
Filed under: uncultured bacterium
Lineage: Bacteria
Description: bacterial SSU rRNA
Rfam family: Bacterial small subunit ribosomal RNA
Source: RNAcentral